RNAcentral lists this ribosomal RNA (429 nucleotides) under Pseudomonadota bacterium. RNAcentral's name for it is "Proteobacteria bacterium partial 16S ribosomal RNA". It matches the Rfam family "Bacterial small subunit ribosomal RNA", at positions 355 to 776 of the family's 1533-position model. Lineage: Bacteria; Pseudomonadati; Pseudomonadota. The record is from RNAcentral.
UGGGGAAUAUUGGACAAUGGGCGAAAGCCUGAUCCAGCCAUGCCGCGUGUGUGAAGAAGGUCUUCGGAUUGUAAAGCACUUUAAGUUGGGAGGAAGGGCAGUAAGCGAAUACCUUGCUGUUUUGACGUUACCGACAGAAUAAGCACCGGCUAACUCUGUGCCAGCAGCAUCGGUAAUACAGAGGGUGCAAGCGUUAAUCGGAAUUACUGGGCGUAAAGCGCGCGUAGGUGGUUCGUUAAGUUGAAUGUGAGAGCCCCGGGCUCAACAUGGGAACUGCAUUCAAAACUGGCGAGCUAGAGUAGGGCAGAGGGUGGUGGAAUUUCCUGUGUAGCGGUGAAAUGCGUAGAUAUAGGAAAGAAAACAAGUAGCGAGGGCGACCACCUGGGCUCAUACUGACACUGAGGUGCGAAAGCGUGGGGAGCAAACAGG